GUAUGCAAGGGUGUACGUGUGUGUGUGUGUGUGUGUGUGAACAAAGACUUCUGAGCCCAUGACCUCUGGGGGUUCUUCAGAGACCUCUGCUUUUCUAUACAAGCAGGAGGUGAAAAGUUCCUGGCCCUGAUAUGGCUGGGAGAAAGUCACUUACUCUUUUUCUAUUGUUUGUUUCAUGUGAUCAAAAGGAAAAAUGAUAUUGUCUCUACUGCUCAGGAGUGCAUGGGAAUUAAUUAAAACCUAUUAAAACCUUUGAUUUCAUUCAUACAGUUCAAUUAAAAAUAUUAAUUGAAUAUCUACUUUAUGCCAACUUUGUUCUACAUGCUGGAGACACAGUAGUGAACAGACUAAAGUAAGCUCCUGAUCAAGCGGAACGUAUUUUCUAGUGGCAGGGCUAGGAAAUAAACACACAGAAGGGUCAAUAUGAUGUGAGUCCAAUGGCAACAGAUGAUAUGGGGGAAAUAAAUUUGAGUGUGGGAGACAGGGUGUGGUGGGAUUGGAAAUAUUUGCCAUUUAUGUGCAUGCAUGUGUGUUUGUGCAUGUGCACACAUGCAGUGGUCAGGGGGCAUCUCCAAGAAAGUGACACUCAGGUGUAGACUUGAAGGAAGUGAGGGAGUGAGCCAUGUGGAAAUGUAGAGGAAGAGUGCUCCAGGCAGAAGAAACAGCACAUGCAAAGGCCCUGAGGUGAAAGCACCGUUGGUAUUUCAAGGAAUAGCCAAGAAGCUAGUGUGGCUGCUGUGGAGUAAUGAAAAGGAGAGGGUGCGAGAGAAAUUCAGAGAGGUAACCAGAGCCAGAUUGUAUAGGACCUCGUAAGCUAUUGUAAAGAUUUUGGUGAGGUGGGCAUCAUUGGAGGGUUUUGAGGGGAGGAGGGGGCAGCCAGAUUUGCAUAUGAAAAGGGUUUUCCUGGCUGCUGAGUGGAGCCUGCUGCUGUAGGGGAUUGAUGGGGGAGGCAGGAAGCCCAGUUAGGAUGCAGUUUCAAUAACCAAGGCAAGUGGUGAUAGUUGAAGGGAUCAGGAUGGACAGGUGAAGGUGGCAGGUGAUGGGGUUUUGAAGGAAGAGCCAAUAAGCUUUACUCCUUUAGAUGCAAGGCAGGAGAGACAGGAUCAAGGAGGUCUCCAGGAUUUUCAACUGGAAGAACAGAGUUGCCGUCAACCGAGUCGGAGAGCCCUUCACAAGAAGCAGGCCUGUGGUCCGGCUGAUGCCAGGAGCCAAAGGAAACGUCACAAGAAAAGGAAAGCAAUAUAGGAUAUCAAAGAAAAUGAGCCAAAUCCUACCACCUCAAGAGAGCUGAUAUCUUUAGUUUCCCAUGAUUCUUUCCGUUUCGUAUUCAUAUCCACUCCUAGUUUCCCACCAGGAGUAGUUAACAUUAUUGAGUGGCUAGUAUAGGAGACAGGCAUAUGAUAAGCAUUUCUCAAGCAUUAUCUCCUUGAAUACUCACAACACCCAAGAAUAAAGAUGACAAAAGCUGAGCCAGGUAGGGUAACGCGCAGCUAGUGAGGGGCGGAGCUGGACAUUUCACCCAGGACUGCCUGACUGCAAAAUCCUCAGUUAUUCCCUACUAUGCUGCAUUCCUUUGUUUCACAUAUAUAUACAUAAAACCAGAGAACCCUAAAUCUUAGAGCUUUUGGGGCCAACCUUUCCUUUCUCUUGUGCUGAGAGAAUCCCUCACCUUCCACAAUAUUCCCACAUGCGUCCAGGGAUCACUUCCCUGGAAUGUCUCAAAUAGGGAAGGCAGAGAUCCCCAGGGACAAAUGUGUGGUCCACGAGGAGGUGUACUGACUUGUUACAGCAUGGGACAGUGCUCUGGGGACCAGGGAGUGCUUCAUCGGACGCAGGAAGCCACCAACUUGUUACAGGACUUGGGGAAAUGGUGGGAUUCAGCUAAAAUUCAAAUGAAGCUGUGUUUUAAUGCCCUCAAAGCAAAUAGCGCUGUGUAUAAAGGAAUUAACACCAGCCUGGGCCGAGGGGCAGACUGAGUCCUGUUUCCUUGGAAGCUAUAGGGUCAGGAGAAUGUAGCGUCCAAAAACCCCUUAUCUGAAGCUCUGCAGCUGGGUUGCAAAUCCGGGCUCCUUCUCUGCGUCCAAGACGGCUCGGCUCCCUGAGGUAGGAGUGGGCUAUUCUGUUCUUACUGAAAUGAUUUCAACAGAAAAGUUGCUGGAAGUUUAUAUUUAGAGAAAAACGUUUCUCAUUGACAUGUCUUUUUGCUCAUUAACAAAAGUACUUUUUCACAGGGUCACAGAAUGCAGCUGGCUUCGCUGUUCCCUUUGUUCCUGUGGUUCCCAUCUUUCCGAGCUCUCUCACCCUGCUCUGGUCCUGCGUCUGUCCAUUCCCAUAAGUUCCACUAACAUUGGGCUGCCGAUCGAUGCUUGUUUGCAUGCUUGGGGUCAUGGCGUGGCAUUACAGGACAAUGAAGAUGACAGUGCGAGGUUGCUCUAUCAAGGUGACUGUCUUAAAAAUCGUUUCCUGACUCCAGGAAGUUGCCCAUUGGCCAGUCUUGCUUCCUGCCAUUCAUUUCGGCUUCUGUCCCCUUCUCGGGACUCUUCUCUCCUAGGCCUCCUCUCCCCCAGUUUGGGGCUUCUUACUGUUCCGCUCAACACAAUAUGCUUAAAUACGCCCCACCUUCUUAGGCAGGGUGGUUCCACUCUUUCUUUCCCUUCUCCUUCCAAAUCAUGAUGGUGGCUGAUGGCUCCUUUCCUUUCCCAGGUAAAGGGCCUCCUCAAGGUGGAGUGGUGGGACAGGCGCCUGGCUGCGUGGGCUCAAGAAAGCAUGGGAGAGAGGGAGGGGAGGGGCUCAGAGGGUCUCUAUGGUACGCUCAUAGAAGAGACUAACUCCUCUGGUGCCAGAUAUGCCAUCACGAUAGGCGCUGAAGAUGCAAACACAGGUGUAGCUUGUUUGUAUUUAAAACACAGAUUCUCAGAGCUGCAAUAGCAUUAUAUUAAGAAGAUUUACCUGGUUUAGAAUUGAUGCGCCCAGGAUGAGGAUCUGGUGUCCUCUAUCUUGAAGACAGACUUGGGAGGAACGAAUUGGAAAGAGGCAGCUUAAGCGAUGGUGUUAUCUACGCUGAGCAGGGAGCCAGAAUUUCUCACGCCUGGGCACAUGCCUUGAGUAAUUGAAGAGCUCCAGCUGGGCUGCAGGGCUGACCUAAUCCAAGCAAGGAAACCAGCAGUGACUCAUCUCACAGAGCUGCCACUCAUCUAUUGAAGGCAAUUUUUAUGGAGGGCGUACCUGGUGCCUCGGACUGUGCAAGGCUUAUUGAUAACAGCGCUCCAGUCUCCCUGGGCCACUGAUCAGAUUAAUGUAAGUGAUUAGCAAUGAUUGUGGUAAGAGCUGAGGACGGCUGCUUGUCUACACUGUUGUGAAACGGAUAUGGGCUUUUACCGUCAAAGCUGUCCCGUCUUUAAACAAGAGUCAGAACGGACAGCAGAAUCUGACUUCUGAUGGGCUCCAGAGAACCGCUGCUACAUGUUUAUUCAAAUAACAGUCCUGAUCUGAGCAGUAAUUUGGCUCCAGCAUCCAUAGAAGGCAAGUUGGAAGCUCUGCUCUUCUAGGCUUCUGGCAACUUUGAUUAGAAAUCCAUCAGAGCUCAUAGCCUCAUCUUCUUCUUGUUGCCUCUUUCCAUGUUCCGAUAUUGCCCAGGAGUCCAGGCUGCUUCAGCCUUAAUGACAUGUGGACAUUCUGAAAAUACAUCAGACGCACCCGGCCUAAUACGGACGAUCAGCCCAGGAAACGGGAGCACGGAGAGUGACAGCCACACAGGUCUCACGGCUGUUAUAGGAGGAAGAAAGGACUGCCACUGGGGACCGUGGACCUCCAGUCCUGGGUUCUUCCUGCUCCAGCCACAGACCCUGAACCGCUUAUUGGAACUUCUUUACCAGCAUUAACUUAGGGGUUCCCCACGUGUGUUAACGGUCAUUGUCACCUUCUCACUUACCUUCUCUUUGCUGCAUACAAUAAUAUGCCCUGAAGAGAAAAUACACCUAAGACUAGAGGAAGAGUUUAUUACGCUAUAGACAAACACUUUCUAGAAAGACCAUGCAAUGAUCACCAUGAAAGUUGCACAAAAGAGUAAAUAUAUAUUUUAGGUGUACCACUUCACUCUUUGUGCUCACUCCCCACCCCGCCUUUUCCCUGUAAUCUGUUCUCUUUGUCCACAUGUUUAACUUCCAUAUAUAAGUCGAGUCAUACAGAGAUUGUCUUUUUCUAUCUGGUUUAUUUCACUUCACGUAAUACCCUCAAGGUCCAUCCAUGUUGUUGUGAAUGGGACGAUUUUAUCCCUUUUUAUGGCUGAGAAGUACUCCAUUGUAUAUAUAUAUCAUAUCUUCUUUAUGUAGUCAUCAGUCGAUGGGCACUUGGGUUGCUUCCACAUCUUGGCUAUUGUGAAUAAUGCUACAAUGAACAUAGGGGUGCAUGGGACUUUUGGAAUUGCUGACUUCAAGCUCUUUGGAUAGAUACCUAGUAGUGGGAUGGCUGGGUUAUAUGGUAUUACUAUGUUUAAUUUUUUGAGAAAUCUUCAUACUGUUUUCCAUAGUGGCUACACCAGUUUGCAUUCCCACCAGCAGUGUAUGAGGGUUCCCUUCCCUCCACAGCUUCUCCAGCAUUUGCUAUUUUUUGUUUUGGUUAUUUUAGCCAUUCCAAUGGGUGUAAGGUGCUAUCUUAGUGUAGUUUUGAUUUGCAUUUCGCUGAUGGUCAGUGAUGAUGAGUAGCUUUUCACGUGGCUAUUGGCCAUCUGUAUAUCUUCUUUGGAGAAACGUCGGUUCAUAUCAAUAUGACUGACAAACAAUAAUGUACAACUGAACUUUCACAUGAUUGUAAACCUUCAUAACCUCAAUAAAAAAUAAAA
Molecule: long non-coding RNA, 4840 nt
Organism: Equus caballus (horse)
Lineage: Eukaryota; Metazoa; Chordata; Mammalia; Perissodactyla; Equidae
Source: Ensembl